ACAUCCAGAGACUUAGCAGAGAUGCUUUGGUGCCUUCGGGAACUCUGAGACAGGUGCUGCAUGGCUGUCGUCAGCUCGUGUUGUGAAAUGUUGGGUUAAGUCCCGNAACGAGCGCAACCCUUAUCCUUUGUUGCCAGCGGCUCGGCCGGGAAACUCAAAGGAGACUGCCGGUGAUAAACCGGAGGAAGGUGGGGAUGACGUCAAGUCAUCAUGGCCCUUACGGCCAGGGCUACACACGUGCUACAAUGGCGCAUACAAAGAGAAGCGACCUCGCGAGAGCAAGCGGACCUCAUAAAGUGCGUCGUAGUCCGGAUUGGAGUCUGCAACUCGACUCCAUGAAGUCGGAAUCGUUAGUAAUCGUAGAUCAGAAUGCUACGGUGAAUACGUUCCCGGGCCUUGUACACACCGCCCGUCACACCAUGGGAGUGGGUUGCAAAAGAAGUAGGUAGCUUAACCUUCGGGAGGGCGCUUACCACUUUGUGAUUCAUGACUGGGGUGAAGUCGUAACAAGGUAGGCGUAGCGAG
This 525-nucleotide ribosomal RNA is filed under the name uncultured bacterium. RNAcentral describes it as "bacterial SSU rRNA". It matches the Rfam family "Bacterial small subunit ribosomal RNA", at positions 984 to 1509 of the family's 1533-position model. The record is from RNAcentral.